GUUGAAAUUAUAUAUUCAGCACUACUUUGUUUUCGUGGAAUAACUGCAAUAUAUUGAUUUCAUGGAAUAACUGUCAGUAUAUUGACAACAGAAAUGUGUCUCUGCUUCAUUUCUCUCAUUCCUUUCAUUUUAUUUUUUUCUGUAAAAAACUGUGAGAGCAGUUUAAACUAUAUAAAUUAGUAAAUACUUAAUUGAAGUCAAAAUAAAAUAUAUUUUCUAGGGAGUUCCCGUUGUGGCUCAUCCCCUGGUGGCUCAGCAGGUGAAUGAUCUGGCAUUGUCCCUCUUGUGGCUUAUUGUCACUGCUCUGGCAUGGGUUCAUUUCCUGGCUGGGGAAUUUCUCCAUGCCAUAGGUGCAGCCAAAAAAAGAAAAAAAAAAAGUAUGAAAUUAACAUGCUUGUUUUAUUAAAUUAAUUACUUUAUUAUAAAUAGAUAAAUGACAACUGUUGCAUGGGAAGCUUGAUUAGCAUAAAAAGAUGAAAGUUUCAUUUAGUCCUACAUUUUUUGGUAGCUAUUAUAUCUAGAUUUCUAUAUAUAGUUAGAAUGGUCUUAUCAAAGUCAUUCAAAAAUAAGACUUGACCUUCUGAUUUCCAGUAACUGAUCCCACUUCCUUCAAAUAACCACGAAAAUCUUCCUUUAGUAUAGAGAGUAGGAAAAAUACUCUGUUAAUUUUACAAUGGAUAAUAGAAGAUAUGUAAAAUGACAAUAAAUUUCAUAGUUCUCCCAUAUUCCUUAGAGAAAAAAAAAGGUAGCUAUACCAGGAAUUUACUAUUUUCACGAUGCAUCACCACUUAGCUGGUAUUUGUUAUUUAGCCCUUGUAGUAGGUCGUAUAUCCAUAGAAUAGACAAGAGUUGCUUUUCUAGGCAAGUGCUUACCUGCCCUGAAAACAGUUGCUUGUUUACUUGUUUGCAUAACACUUUAUAUUGCCUAAGAGAUUUAUUUGUUUAAAAGGAAAACAUGGAAAUACUGUAGUGUGUUAAUAUCUCAAAAUUAUAGUAACUAUGACUAAAUUCCAUGUGUUAUUAGACUCAUUACUUCUUUACCUGAUAUUCCAUGUUUAUAUAUGUACUUGUUAUGCCUACUUUACAAAAAGGGACAUGAAAAUAAGAUAUAUUUAGAGAGAUAGACAUAAUUAGAAUUUCAACUCAAUUUGGUUAAAGAAAUAAAGAAACUUUAUUCAAAAAGUCACCUGAAAGAAUUUCAAGCCAAAUAAUUAAAGGGGCAUGAGAUUCAGUUAGUUCAAGCUGUUUAUUUAUUUAAGCAAUCAGUUAACCAAUAUGCAUUGAGUAGUCACUAUGUUCUAAUUGCUAGUUACACACAAAGUAUCGACCUCAUGGAAUUUGCAUUCUGGUGGAUAAGACUAUACACCUGUGAACAAAUACAAUACAUAAUUUCAGAUCAUGGCCACUACUAUAAAGAAAAUCAAGUAGGGUCAUAAGAUAAACAUGGGCUGGGUGUAGUGCUUUAUUGAAGGAUAAUGUAAAAAUAAGCAUAGGCCAAGAGUCAGAGAGGUAAACAUAUAUAUGAAUCAAGGCUCAGCCAUUUCCUGGGUGUUUAUGUCACUUAGACUCAGUGAACCUCUGUUUCCUUAUCUGUGAAAGAAGAGCCACACUGAUCUUGCAAACUUGUCCUGAGAUCGCAAAUAUAAUGUAUAUAAUAUCUAGCGCAUGGGAGUUUUUCAAUGAUUGUCAGUUAAGAACCGUACAAUAGGAGUUCCUGCUGUGGUACAGUAGAAAUGAAUUCAACUAGUAACCAUGAGGAUGAAGGUUUGAUCCUGGACCUCGCUUAGUGGGUUAAGGAUUCAGUGUUGUUGUGAGCUGUGUCGUAGGUCAGAGAUGAGGCUUGAAUCCAGUCUUGCUGUGGCUGUGGUGUAGACUGGCAGCUGUUUAGAUCUGAUUCAACCCCUAGCCUGAGAACUUCCAUAUGCCCAGGAUGUGGUCCUAAAAAGAAAAAAAUAAAUAAAUAAAGAUAACCAUACAAUAAAAGCCACAGAGAUUCCUCAUGUAGCUCUCUCUUUUCUAUAAUUCUUCUUAGAAUUGCUUUUUCAAAGACCUCACAGGCUAAACACACAAUCAUUCUGACUUUAAAUUUUUAAUUCUGUCUGUAAAUAAAGUAAUUAUUCUGUGGUCAGGAGUGUUUGCUUCUCUAAAAGGGGAAAGGGAGGGUGGGCACAUGGUUGCUGGGUAUUUUGGGACAUUAUUUAUCUCAGUGAACCUGGUUCAAAUGUAUCACUACCAGCUUGCAUUUCAGGGGCCACCUGGCUCAUCAUCUGACAACAACAUGCUGUGUGACUUUAAAAGAAUCAUUUCCAUAGUUUAAUUUUCUGUAAAUGAACACUUUGGCAUAGCAGUUUUCCAUCUGAGAAGCAUACACCUAGAUUAUAAGGACUCUUAAAAUGCACACUUGCUUAGAUGUUUCUUUUCAGUCCAUUUACUAUUAAAUUCUUUUGUGUGUGUAAAGCCUCCUCAGCUAAAUUGUCAAGCUCUUGAGAUCAAGGGCUCUUCUUUUCGCUAUUAUGGAAUGUGGUGCAUGAGGUAAGAGUUGUG
RNAcentral lists this long non-coding RNA (2544 nucleotides) under Sus scrofa (pig). Its description in RNAcentral is "lncRNA (ENSSSCG00040068952.1)". The record is from RNAcentral. Lineage: Eukaryota; Metazoa; Chordata; Mammalia; Artiodactyla; Suidae.